CCACUUUUCAUCAACCAAAUGAGUCCUAAAAUACCCUUUGUCUACUUGCGCGGGGUACAUAUAGAAAAACCCUCAACAGUAUAUCUUAGUUCCAGUUUUACUUGACCCAUGAUAUCUUUCUCUUCAUUUUUUGAUGAUAUACUGGACCCAUGAUAUCAGGAAGUCAUCAUCCUAUUAUCUGCAUGAUGCAUCCCAAGCUAAACCUAUAGGUCCUCUAAUUCUUGGAG
Molecule: long non-coding RNA, 227 nt
Filed under: Elaeis guineensis (African oil palm)
Lineage: Eukaryota; Viridiplantae; Streptophyta; Magnoliopsida; Arecales; Arecaceae
Description: long non-coding RNA (EGUI_LNC004186)
Source: RNAcentral